This 414-nucleotide long non-coding RNA is filed under the name Vitis vinifera (wine grape). RNAcentral describes it as "long non-coding RNA (VVIN_LNC001680)". Lineage: Eukaryota; Viridiplantae; Streptophyta; Magnoliopsida; Vitales; Vitaceae. The record is from RNAcentral.
AUAAGAAACUAUUUGCAGUGUCUCAGUCCUGCAGGGGAAUACAAUCUUCGUCUUGGAAUUAUAAAGGAGCUGCAUCCAGAUAUGGUAGCAACUUAUUCAGGCAGGUUGUAUUUGAUAUUUUAAAUAGCUAGAUUUGCUUCUUUCUUAUUUUAUUCAGGAAAUUAGCAUGUAUAUAAUGUGGUUAUAUGAUUCUCAGUAUCUCAAAUGCAAUCUUUGAUGAUAACAACUUCAGCAUUUUAUUUCUCUAUUUCUCUUGCUGAAGUAUUACCAUCACUUCUGAUGUUUCUCUUUUUCUUCUAUCACCUCAUACAGUGCUCAAGUUUUUGAAGGCCACCCAUUCAUGGUUGAAGCUGGAGUCAGUAUAGGUGGAAAAGAUGUUAAGCAAGUGCGUGCUUUUCUUUUAAUACUUACAAU